CAGUAGCCGCGGUAAUACGUAGGGUGCGAGCGUUAAUCGGAAUUACUGGGCGUAAAGCGUGCGCAGGCGGCUUUGCAAGACAGAUGUGAAAUCCCCGGGCUCAACCUGGAACUGCAUUUGUGACUGCAAGGCUAGAGUGCGGCAGAGGGAGAUGGAAUUCCGCGUGUAGCAGUGAAAUGCGUAGAUAUGCGGAGGAACACCGAUGGCGAAGGCAAUCUCCUGGGCCUGCACUGACGCUCAUGCACGAAAGCGUGGGGAGUAAACAGGAUUAGAUACCCGUGUAGUCCCUGUCUCUUAUACA
Molecule: ribosomal RNA, 301 nt
Filed under: uncultured bacterium
Lineage: Bacteria
Description: partial 16S ribosomal RNA
Rfam family: Bacterial small subunit ribosomal RNA
Source: RNAcentral